Molecule: non-coding RNA, 216 nt
Organism: Vicia faba (fava bean)
Lineage: Eukaryota; Viridiplantae; Streptophyta; Magnoliopsida; Fabales; Fabaceae
Source: the annotation of a GenBank genome assembly
AUGAGGGUUGUGACUGGACACCACAUCGGUGAGGAUUGCGCUAUGCCACCUGUCCGUCCUUACCUGGGUGGGAGUACUGCAAAGCUAACGGUAGGUCAGACAGGUCUGGGAUCAUCUUUCGGCUGGAACAACCUUUAUUAUGGGCAUGAUCAGCUAAAGAUCACUGUCAUCUCACGAAUUGGAUUCGAACCAAUAUCAAAGACUUUACUUUAUUAG